GACGAACGCUGGCGGCGUGCCUAAUACAUGCAAGUUGAGCGCUGAAGGUUGGUACUUGUACCCACUGGAUGAGCAGCGAACGGGUGAGUGACGCGUGGGGAAUCUGCCUUUGAGCGGGGGACAACAUUUGGAAACGAAUGCUAAUACCGCAUAAAAACUUUAAACACAAGUUUUAAGUUUGAAAGAUGCAAUUGCAUCACUCAAAGAUGAUCCCGCGUUGUAUUAGCUAGUUGGUGAGGUAAAGGCUCACCAAGGCGAUGAUACAUAGCCGACCUGAGAGGGUGAUCGGCCACAUUGGGACUGAGACACGGCCCAAACUCCUACGGGAGGCAGCAGUAGGGAAUCUUCGGCAAUGGACGAAAGUCUGACCGAGCAACGCCGCGUGAGUGAAGAAGGUUUUCGGAUCGUAAAACUCUGUUGGUAGAGAAGAACGUUGGUGAGAGUGGAAAGCUCAUCAAGUGACGGUAACUACCCAGAAAGGGACGGCUAACUACGUG
Molecule: ribosomal RNA, 497 nt
Filed under: uncultured bacterium
Lineage: Bacteria
Description: partial 16S ribosomal RNA
Rfam family: Bacterial small subunit ribosomal RNA
Source: RNAcentral